Molecule: long non-coding RNA, 4573 nt
Organism: Peromyscus californicus insignis
Lineage: Eukaryota; Metazoa; Chordata; Mammalia; Rodentia; Cricetidae
Exons: 4
Source: RefSeq, a predicted model, not a curated record
UUCCUGAGCGUACCACUUGUAAAAGCCUUCUGAUUGGCCCUGACAUUACUCUUCUACCUAUUCUUGGAGAGAAUGAGUUCCCUUGCUCGGACGGAAGAAGUUCUAGACAUUAUCCUUUUGGGGCGGACACCAGAAAGCUAAGUUGAUACCACUAGUAAUCCAUCGGAACCGCUGUCGACCUAUAAGUAUUUUUUAAUUGCUAGUAGUGAUUAGAAGAAUAUAUAAAAUCUAUUUUCUUUAAUUUAGUCAGCCAAGACUGAGCCUUCUGUCCUUAAAUCAUACAGGUUUACUCUAAAACCCAAAAAGACAAGUUCUGGCUCCAUUAGAGUCUUUAAAAUGUGUGUGUGUGUGUGUGUGUGUGUGUGUGUGUGUGUGUGUGUGUGUGUUUAAAAUGUUAACAUUGAAGUGCCAUUAACCUUUACAAUUACUUACAACCUAUUGUAUAGACAUAUUUGUCAUCAAAGAAAAUGAAGCUACCAGAGUCACUAUAGAAUACAGAAGAGGCUGCUAAUAGGAGUCUUCAGAUAGAAACUGACAAGGCAAAACAUUUAUGCCAAGAGACUCAGAAAUGGAUUUGCAGGACUCAAGAAACCAAAUACUAACUGUAGGAAAGAAAAAGCAGGAUUUGUCUCCCCAGUGGCAGGCCCGAAGGCAAACAUGUCUGAUUGCUAAAGAAGUGAAAAUAUCCACGACACUUUCCUGUGCAUUGUUUCCGUCUCGACGCUGAGAUGCCAGCCUUGACACUGAGAUGCCCGCCUUGACACUGAGAUGCCAGCCUCGACACUGAGAUGCCAGCCUGUCCUGUUCCAAUGACAUGAAAAUCCAGUCUGGUGCUCAGCGAAGUUGCUGCUUCCAGAGUUAACCUCAGCCACUUUCCCAACUCGUGGGUACAGACUUCAGACGACGUGUAACCCACCGAGAACAAACUGUGGCCAUCACGGCGCUCAGAGGCCCUCGUGGCUCCUCAGUCCCGAAGAGUGAUGCUGGGGAAAUACCACAUGACCAGCAGGCUAGCAGAGGCUUAACACUUGAAACUCAGCUAGAAAUAUGACAGCACUUUAAGCUCUGCUUCUCACAACUGGUGACAGCUUUGUCUUAACUGCAAGCAUCCCAGCCCUCCAAGAAUUACUACCAUAAUAUUUAUUGAGCAAUAACAAUUGCUAACUGCACUUCAGAGUGUUGAAUCAUCAUCUUUACCCGGGAGAAUUGUAAUUUAAAUUCUCUAGGUCUACAGAAACGUAAGGAGAAAAGGCAAUGUUCUUGCUCUGCCCUUCUCGUUCUCCUCCUCCACAUGUAUUUCAUGAACAAUGCAAUAUGCCUCUGGAGAGUCAAAGCACCCCUCGACACUGAAUUAGGCACUCAGCAAAGAUGUAUGAACUUCAUCCGUGCUGAGAUGAUGGUGUUUGAGAUGUGACUUCCCAUAUAUGCUCCAAUUGAGUUAGUACAGCUUCUCAAGGUGAUUGACACUCAAACACUGUGAUGUAUGAUCAAAGAUGUAGCCAGGGCUGGUACUAGAAAAAAAAAUUGUGUAAGAACUGCAAAUAUAAAUUGCAGUUUCCUAAUAGUACCACCUCCCACUCUGUGUAUGUGAUGCCUUAUUCCACAGGGCUCCCUCCCACUCUUUUUCAGUCAAUCUCUACUAAACAGUCUGCUGGCAAUGAACUAAUUAAUGCAUUAUGUCUUAAAGUUCAUUUUUAUUUUAACUAUAAUACACGUAUGUAGUUUAAGAAAUAAAAUAUGGCAAAAAUCAGCCCCCAAGCCCACAGUUCCCCCAGCAUCUAUCCCUGACUCAUGAAGGAUAAUUAUCCAGGGAGAUUCUUGCCUCUCUCACAUCAGGCUCUUUAUCUUUAUUAGUCUAUCUGUUAUGACUUCCUCUUUCUUAUUUUACUGGGUUUUUUUCUGAUGAUAUGUUGGGGUGGAAUCCAAGACUGUACACAUGCUAAGAAAGCCUUUACCUCUGCAUCACAUCCCAGCCCCUACUUGCUUUAAAAAAAAAUAUUACAUUUAUUUAUUAUGUGUGCAUUUUGUGUGUGUGUGUGUGUGUGUGUGUGUGUGUGUGUGUGUGUGUGUGUGUGUGUGUACAUGCACACAUGCAUCGAAGGACAUUUUGUGGAAGUUAGUUCUCUCCCUCCGCCAUGUGGGUCCCAGGAAUUGAACUCAGAUCCUCAGAAUGGGUAGCAAAGCCCUUUACCUGAUGAGUCAUUUCACCUGCCCACAUCUUCAUUUUAAUAGACCAUAGCUCUCCCAUAUGAUUGAGGGGAGCAAUAACAUCCAAAAUCACCUAUACUCAAGAUAGAGAAUUUUAAUCUGGUGUUUUCUCUCUGAAUUUUUGUCGCAUUUCUCCAUUGUUUCAUAAUUUUUAGUACUUAGCAGACAGGAAAGCUGAGGGCCAAUGUAGUCAAUGGCAGGGUCAGACCUCAAGCUCAGAAUGUUAUUCUCCUACCAUAGCCAGCCUGUAGUCAGAAGUUCUUCUGUGUCCCACCUCGUCCCAUAGCUGCUCAGACCCAAGUAAACACACAGAGGCUUAUAUUACUUACAAACUGUAUGGCCUAUGGCAGGCCUCUUGCUAGCUCGCUCUUAUAUCUUAAAUUAACCCAUUUCUAUUAAUUUAUAUUUUGCCUUGUGUUCUGAGGCUUACCAAUCUGCUGGCAUGCUGUUCCUUGCACAGCAGGCUGGCAUCUCUCCAGACUCUGCCUUUCUCUUUCCUGUCUCUCUCCUUGGACUUCCUGCCUGCCUCUAAGCUGCCUUGCCAUAGGCCAAAGCAGCUUAUUUAUUAACCAAUGGGAGCAACAUAUAUUCACAGAAAGACAUCCCCCAGCACCAGGCUCUCUGUAAUAAAGUAGGGAAGGCUAAAAUGAGACUCAUGCUAGCAGGGUUCCCACUCUGAUAAGGGGUCAUUUGUAAUCUAAAGCUUGUGUUGAAGAAUUGUAUUGGAAACCAAAGCACAGGACAGGACCUCACAGCCAGGGGCAUAACUGCUGUUUUUUGUUUUGUUGUGUUUUGCUUGCUUGUUUGUUUGUUUUUCAAGACAGGGUUUCUCUAUGUAACUGCCCUGGCUGUCCUGGAAUUCCCUCUGUAGACCAGGCUGGCCUCUUUGAACUCAGAAAUGUUCACUUGCCUCUGCCUCCAAAGUGCUGGAAUUAAAGGUGUGUUCCACCACUGCCUGGCCUAUAACUGCUCCUUUAUACACUUUAUUCAGUGUAUCAAGUUGAAAACAUGCUCUACGGUUUUUGAGAUUACAGAAAUUGGGUGUUGGGACACAAUUCUCCGUGGGUCACUCAUUACUGCACAUCUUGCCAGGAGGAGCACUGACCAUCUUUGUUCCAGACUGUCUUUUGAAGGAUGCAUGUGUCACAAACAACCAUGGGAGAUACAGGUAGUAUCUGGCUCUAGAUCAAAGGGAAGGCUAGCAUUAGCCCAGGAACAUAGAGACGUUGUCUCCUGGAGCAGACAUGUGCUCUAGACCUUUCAAUUGAUUUGGCUCAACAAACUCAGGGUUCCUGUAAUACUCUCCACCACAGGUACAAGUAUUGUCUGGUACAUUUUUGUCUGGGUUGGUCUUCAAUUUGGUUCUAUCAAUCAGUGUGUCUGUGUCUGGUUUUGUGCCAAUAUCAUGCUGUUUUUAUUACUAUAGCUUUGUAGUAUAUCUAGAAAUCGAGGAUGGUCACACCUCCAGCAAUUCUUUUAUUAUUCAGGAUUCUUUUAGCUAUCCCGGGUUUUUGUGUUCCCAUCUGAAGCUGAAAAUUGUUCUUUCAAUGUCUGUGAAGAAUUGUAGUGGAAUUUUGAUGGGGAUUGCAUCGCAAGCACCUUUUAAAACUCACAGAAUAACUUAGCUUUCAAAAAGGAUGGGGCAAUUUGAAAAAGUUUGUGUUGGGCUGUUGCCUUCCAAAAUCACCCUGCCUUAGCAAUCGCCUAAGGAAGCCACAGGAAGGUUCUGGAGUGGACCCAAACAGAACUAUAACAAAUUCAUGAUGGGGAGGUAAUAAAGGUGACAGAACCCAAGCCGUGAAUUCAGACAACUGUUGUUAAGUUCUGGCUCCUUUCUGACCAUUCACAAAGCACAAGGCAGAUGUCUUCUCAUCUCUCAGCUCAACCUCCAUGUCUGAAACCGCCUGUGGUAAAACCCAACAAUACUGUUUUGAAGACUACACCCUAAUGUUUUGUGCAACAUGCUGCAUAAAUAAAGGAUUCAUAAUAAGUAUUUGUUGUCUAAAUUGCAGAGGGUCUGGACCAGUAUCUGGCCGUAUUAGCUACCUGUUUUGUUACUGUGACAAAACAUUCUGACAAAAGCCACUUAAAGAAGGAAGGGCUCAUUUGGGCUCCCAGUUGCAGAGGACAGCCCACCAUGGCCUGGAAGUCAUGGCCACAGGAGCUUCGGGCUGCUGACCAUAUUGUCUCAGAUGAAUGCAGUGUUCAGCUCCCUUCUCCUUCCAUCCUUGGAUCAUGGGAUGGUGCUUAUCACAAUUAAGGUGGGUGUUCCCUUAAUUGUGGUUAAAUAUCACAAUUAAUAAAUUAAUAAACUAAUCCCCCACAGGCAUGCCCAGAGCCUUGACUCCUAGGUGAUUCUAUGUCC